RNAcentral lists this ribosomal RNA (419 nucleotides) under uncultured bacterium. RNAcentral's name for it is "bacterial SSU rRNA". It matches the Rfam family "Bacterial small subunit ribosomal RNA", at positions 8 to 423 of the family's 1533-position model. The record is from RNAcentral.
AGAGUUUGAUCCUGGCUCAGGAUGAACGCUAGCGGCAGGCUUAAUACAUGCAAGUCGUGGGGCAGCGCAGGUAGCAAUACUGGGCGGCGACCGGCAAACGGGUGCGGAACACGUACACGACCUUCCGAUAAGUGGGGGAUAGCCCAGAGAAAUUUGGAUUAAUACCCCGUAACAUAGCGAUGUGGCAUCACAUUGCUAUUAUAGCUUCGGCGCUUAUUGAUGGGUGUGCGGCUGAUUAGAUAGUUGGCGGGGUAACGGCCCACCAAGUCUACGAUCAGUAGCUGAUGUGAGAGCAUGAUCAGCCACACGGGCACUGAGACACGGGCCCGACUCCUACGGGAGGCUGCUGUUAGGUUUUUUGGUCAAUGGACGCAAGUCUGAACCAGCCAUGCCGCGUGAAGGAUUGAGGUCCUCUGGAU